AAAUAUGCAUCAGAGGCUGGUUUUUUGAUCAAUUUUAGCUUACUUUUGAUCAAAGAUUCAUUGGCUUUGAAUGUUCUUUGAAGUAUAGUUCCAGCUGCUUAUUGAAGAUUGGUUUUGGCAUUAGUUGUGAUUUUCUACAUCACUGGUAUUUUGGAUGCACAAUUGUGUGCUUCGGAAGCUUGACAUUAGUAAUUGUUCUGAUUUUGACGUGCUCUAACAGUUACUAUUAAUUGAUCAAUGAUUUCCUGCAAAUUGUCAAUUCUGUGAAGUUUUAUCCAAGACUGGUUCAGAUUAAAUGAUAUAGAGUUAGUUGUUGUGAUAUGGAAAUUCAAGUUGGAAGUUCAUUGUUACCAAAUUUACUAUUAAUCUGGUUACUAAAAUGCAUCUUCUCCAAAAGUUGUCAUCUGAAUUUUAUGCCAAGCUACAUAUGUUGAGAAGGGUUUAUAGAGAUUUGGUACAGUAAUAUUGUUCUACUUGAGCACUUGAAAAGUUUGGAUUGGAAUUUGGCUGCUGGUUCUACCUGUACUUUGGAUUAUGGCUUGGAANNNNNNNUCAAGUCUAGUAGCAGCUUGGUUGCUUGUCCUCAGUUUUAUGCAUUUGGCUUAUGCUUGCUGAUAGUUUGAAAUUUGAAGAUUGGAGACAUUUUUUGAUUUGGCUUAUGCUUAGCUUAUCUCCUCUUUAAUAGUCCCAUAUUAGUGGUUUGUUGUCCUGUUUGGUACCUCACUGCUUCUGUUUUGCCUCCUACAAGUGUUGGAGUUUAGUCUUAUUUGAAUGCCCUUUGUGGUUGCCGCUAGUUUUUCUCGUAUUGUGAAGAUUCAAGACCGGUUUUGAACUCUUUAAUCUACUCUUUGUUGCCCUGUUUUAGGCAGGUACUUAGCCAUAUUGGCUUUGUUGCUUUUAUGCUUUCUCUUGAGCAGCUUGAAUUUGCUUGCUUUGUCAAGUGGUUAUUUGGUUUUCUUUUUGAUGUGCUAUCUCAUCUUGAGCACAACAUUGGUAUUGAUGCUUUACUCUCUAGCCAUCAACCAUGCUACUUGAUCUUUCUCCUUGAUUUGUUGGUCCUUAGAUGAGCUAAUUACCUUUAGCACGACUUGAGUAUUGAUGCUUCACUUUGUAGACAUCAGACCCUUUUGAUAUUCUCUACUAGAUCUUUCUCCUUGAUUUGUUGGUCCUUAGAUGAGCUAAUCACCUUUAGCACAACUUGAGUAUUGAUGCUUCACUUUGUAGACAUCAGACCCUUUUGAUAUUCUCUUUUUUGCUUCUAUCUUGAGUGAUUGAGUGCUCUUGAUGGUUAAGCUUUGUGCCUUAAUUGGCUUUGUUGAUUUGCUUCUGCCCUUAGUUGGCUUUGAUGGAUUGUGUUUCUUCCUUAUGGUGGUUAAGCACUACUAGUUGUUGUUUUCUAGCCGAUGUAUUAUGGCAAAUUUCAUUGUAUUUUCUUUAUAUUGAUGUACCUUUGUAUUAGUGAUCCCAAGCUGGAAGUGUUGUGACCACUUUCCAGCUUGCGGGAGGCUGUUGAACUAUAUAGAGUUCGACCCAUUAUCUAGUUAGUAUAGAUCCAUUAGCUAGUUAGUAUAUAAGAUAGAAGUUGCACUCAGUUAUACUUUGACACAUUCAUUUGUAUCAAUUCUAUUAGUUUCAUUACAGAUUUCUCAAACUUUUCUCUCCUUUU
RNAcentral lists this long non-coding RNA (1666 nucleotides) under Trifolium pratense (red clover). Its description in RNAcentral is "long non-coding RNA (TPRA_LNC009238)". Lineage: Eukaryota; Viridiplantae; Streptophyta; Magnoliopsida; Fabales; Fabaceae. The record is from RNAcentral.